CCUACGGGUGGCUGCAGUGAGGAAUAUUGGUCAAUGGGCGCGAGCCUGAACCAGCCAAGUCGCGUGAGGGAUGACGGUCCUACGGAUUGUAAACCUCUUUUGCCGGGGAGCAAGCGUGCGUUCGUGAACGCGAGUCGAGAGUACCCGGAGAAAAAGCAUCGGCUAACUCGGUGCCAGCAGCCGCGGUAAUCCGGGGGAUGCGAGCGUUAUCCGGAUUUAUUGGGUUUAAAGGGUGCGUAGGCGGAAUGCCAAGUCAGCGGUAAAAUGGCGGUGCUCAACGCCGGCGAGCCGUUGAAACUGGCGUUCUUGAGUGGGCGAGAAGUAUGCGGAAUGCGUGGUGUAGCGGUGAAAUGCAUAGAUAUCACGCAGAACUCCGAUUGCGAAGGCAGCAUGCCGGCGCCCUACUGACGCUGAGGCACGAAAGCGUGGGUAUCGAACAGGAUUAGAUACCCCUGUAGUC
This 460-nucleotide ribosomal RNA is filed under the name uncultured bacterium. RNAcentral's name for it is "partial 16S ribosomal RNA". It matches the Rfam family "Bacterial small subunit ribosomal RNA", at positions 338 to 795 of the family's 1533-position model. The record is from RNAcentral.